UAGGGAAUCUUCCACAAUGGACGCAAGUCUGAUGGAGCAACGCCGCGUGAGUGAAGAAGGUUUUCGGAUCGUAAAGCUCUGUUUUUGGUGAAGAAGGAUAGAGGUAGUAACUGGCCUUUAUUUGACGGUAAUCAACCAGAAAGUCACGGCUAACUACGUGCCAGCAGCCGCGGUAAUACGUAGGUGGCAAGCGUUGUCCGGAUUUAUUGGGCGUAAAGCGAGCGCAGGCGGAAGAAUAAGUCUGAUGUGAAAGCCCUCGGCUUAACCGAGGAACUGCAUCGGAAACUGUUUUUAUUGAGUGCAGAAGAGGAGGGUGGAAUUCCAUGUGUAGCGGUGGAAUGCGUAGAUAUAUGGAAGAAAACCAGUGGCGAAGGCGACUCUCUGGUCUGCAACUGACGCUGAGGCUCGAAAGCAUGGGUAGCGAACAGG
Molecule: ribosomal RNA, 429 nt
Filed under: Bacillota bacterium
Lineage: Bacteria; Bacillati; Bacillota
Description: Firmicutes bacterium partial 16S ribosomal RNA
Rfam family: Bacterial small subunit ribosomal RNA
Source: RNAcentral